RNAcentral lists this non-coding RNA (117 nucleotides) under Nomascus leucogenys (northern white-cheeked gibbon). The record is from Rfam by way of RNAcentral. Lineage: Eukaryota; Metazoa; Chordata; Mammalia; Primates; Hylobatidae.
GCCAGGCGUGGUGGCUCACACCUGUAAUCCCAGCACCUUGGGAGGCCGAGGUGGGCGGAUCACCUGAGGUCAGGAGUUCGAGACCAGCCUGGCCAACAUGGUGAAACCCCAUCUCUA